This 253-nucleotide ribosomal RNA is filed under the name uncultured bacterium. RNAcentral describes it as "partial 16S ribosomal RNA". It matches the Rfam family "Bacterial small subunit ribosomal RNA", at positions 524 to 776 of the family's 1533-position model. The record is from RNAcentral.
UACGGAGGGUGCGAGCGUUAAUCGGAAUUACUGGGCGUAAAGCGUGCGCAGGCGGCGCGUUAAGCCAGGCGUGAAAGCCCCGGGCUCAACCUGGGAACUGCGCUUGGGACUGGCGUGCUUGAGUUGGGUAGAGGCAGGCGGAAUUCCGGGUGUAGCGGUGAAAUGCGUAGAUAUCCGGAGGAACACCAGUGGCGAAGGCGGCCUGCUGGGCCCAAACUGACGCUGAGGCACGAAAGCGUGGGUAGCAAACAGG